Molecule: non-coding RNA, 29 nt
Filed under: Rattus norvegicus (Norway rat)
Lineage: Eukaryota; Metazoa; Chordata; Mammalia; Rodentia; Muridae
Source: RNAcentral
UCCAUUCUGGAAUUUUUCGCUGGCUUGAU